AAUCCUUUAACGAGGAACUAUUGGAGGGCAAGUCUGGUGCCAGCAGCCGCGGUAAUUCCAGCUCCAAUAGCGUAUAUUGAAGUUGUUGCGUCUAAAAAGCUCGUAGUUUGAAAACUUGCCUUGGCUUACAACAGACGUCUAAGGGCGUCACCGUUUGUCGAGAGCAAAUAUGGGUGACUGUUCUUGCCUUCUUCACUGAUUGGCUCGUAAAAGUCAUCGAAGAUCACUUUGAUUAAAUUAGGGUGCUCAAAGCAAGUGUGCUACUUGAAUAUGAAUGCAUGGAAUGAUGGAAUAUGUUGUUGUUCUAUUUGUUGGUUUUUUGAAUGACGAAAUGAUUGAAAGGAACUGUUGGGGGCAUUCGUAUUGUUGUGAGAGAGGUGAAAUUCUUAGACCAUAGCAAGACGAACUACUGCGAAAGCAUUUGCCAAGAAUGUUUUCAUUGAUCAAGAACGAAAGUUAGAGGUUCGAAGGCGAUCAGAUACCGCCCUAGUUCUAACCAUAAACUAUGCCGACUAGCAAUUUGCUUUGUAUUUUUAUGACUAAGUGAGAGGCCACGGGAAACCAAAGUAGGGUUAUGGGGGAAGUAUGGUUGCAAAGCUGAAACUUAAAGGAAUUGACGGAAGGGCACCACCAGGAGUGGAGCCUGCGGCUUAAUUUGACCCAACACGGGAAAACUUACCUGGUCCUGACACUAGAAGGAUUGACAGAUUGAUAGCUCUUUCUUGAUUUGGUGGAUGGUGGUGCAUGGCCGUUCUUAGUUGGUGGAGUGAUUUGUCUGGUUAAUUCCGAUAACGAACGAGACUCUAGCCUAUUAAAUAAUAUGCGGAAUCAAUUUCUCCCGCGUUAUUUCUUAAUGGGAUCAAGCGUGUUUAACGCUUUGAAACAGAGCAAUAACAGGUCUGUGAUGCCCUUAGAUGUUCGGGGCUGCACGCGCGCUACAUUGAAGAACAAAGUGAGCCCUCUGGCUUUUAACAAAGCCAGAAAUCUCUUAAUGUUCUUCUUAAUGGGGAUAGGGGAUUGCAAUUGUGCCCCUUGAACGAGGAAUUCCCAGUAAGUGCUAGUCAUUAGCUAGUACUGAUUACGUCCCUGCCCUUUGUACACACCGCCCGUCGCUACUACCGAUUGAAUAGUUUAGUGAGAUCAUCUGAGUGUUUGUAUGUGCAUUCUGUGCUUGUAUGGUGUACGAAGAAGAUCAAACUUGAUUAUUUAGAGGAAGUAAAAGUC
RNAcentral lists this ribosomal RNA (1224 nucleotides) under metagenome. Its description in RNAcentral is "SSU rRNA". It matches the Rfam family "Eukaryotic small subunit ribosomal RNA", at positions 528 to 1790 of the family's 1831-position model. The record is from RNAcentral.